CCUCUAGAUGAGGAUCAUAUGAUUGCAUAUAUUGUAAAUGGCCUAGAUGGCGACUAUGAUUCUUUUGUAUCUGCAUUGGGGAUGAGGGUUGAAUCCAUCUCCAUAACAGAGCUAUAUGCCCAAUCGCUUAAUUUUGAGA
RNAcentral lists this small nucleolar RNA (139 nucleotides) under Oryza meridionalis. RNAcentral describes it as "Small nucleolar RNA Z247". It matches the Rfam family "Small nucleolar RNA Z247". Rfam says of the family: Z247 is a member of the C/D class of snoRNA which contain the C (UGAUGA) and D (CUGA) box motifs. Lineage: Eukaryota; Viridiplantae; Streptophyta; Magnoliopsida; Poales; Poaceae. The record is from Rfam by way of RNAcentral.